UGUGCCUACGGGGGGCAGCAGUGGGGAAUAUUGCACAAUGGGGGAAACCCUGAUGCAGCGACGCCGCGUGAGCGAAGAAGGUUUUCGGAUUGUAAACUAUUGUCGUUAGGGAAGAGAAAGGACAGUACCUAAGGAGGAAGCUCCGGCUAACUACGUGCCAGCAGCCGCGGUAAUACGUAGGGAGCGAGCGUUAUCCGGAAUUAUUGGGUGUAAAGGGUGCGUAGACGGGAAAGCAAGUUAGUUGUGAAAUCCCUCGGCUUAACUGAGGAACUGCAACUAAAACUACUUUUCUUGAGUGCAGGAGA
Molecule: ribosomal RNA, 305 nt
Filed under: uncultured bacterium
Lineage: Bacteria
Description: bacterial SSU rRNA
Rfam family: Bacterial small subunit ribosomal RNA
Source: RNAcentral